UACGUAGGGGGCAAGCGUUGUCCGGAUUUAUUGGGCGUAAAGAGCGUGUAGGCGGCUUUACAGGUCCGUUGUGAAAACUCGAGGCUCAACCUCGAGACGCCGGUGGAAACCGUAAAGCUAGAGUCCGGAAGAGGAGAGUGGAAUUCCUGGUGUAGCGGUGAAAUGCGCAGAUAUCAGGAGGAACACCCGUGGCGAAAGCGGCUCUCUGGGACGGUACUGACGCUGAGAGACGAAAGCUAGGGGAGCAAAUGGG
This 253-nucleotide ribosomal RNA is filed under the name uncultured bacterium. Its description in RNAcentral is "partial 16S ribosomal RNA". It matches the Rfam family "Bacterial small subunit ribosomal RNA", at positions 524 to 776 of the family's 1533-position model. The record is from RNAcentral.